This 253-nucleotide ribosomal RNA is filed under the name uncultured bacterium. RNAcentral's name for it is "partial 16S ribosomal RNA". It matches the Rfam family "Bacterial small subunit ribosomal RNA", at positions 524 to 776 of the family's 1533-position model. The record is from RNAcentral.
UACAGAGGUCUCAAGCGUUGUUCGGAUUUAUUGGGCGUAAAGGGUGCGUAGGUGGCAAGGCAAGUCUGGCGUGAAAUCUCCGAGCCUAACUCGGAAAUGGCGUCGGAAACUGCCUAGCUAGAGGACUGGAGGGGAGACUGGAAUACUUGGUGUAGCAGUGAAAUGCGUAGAUAUCAAGUGGAACACCAGUGGCGAAAGCGAGUCUCUGGACAGUUCCUGACACUGAGGCACGAAAGCUAGGGGAGCAAACGGG